UACGGAGGGUGCAAGCGUUGCUCGGAAUUAUUGGGCGUAAAGGGUAGGUAGGUGGUCUCAUUUGUCUGGGGUGAAAGCCUUGAGCUUAACUCAAGAAGUGCCCCAGAAACGGUGAGACUGGAGUCCUGGAGAGGGUCGUGGAAUUCCCGGUGUAGCGGUGAAAUGCGUAGAGAUCGGGAGGAACACCAGAGGCGAAGGCGGCGACCUGGACAGGUACUGACACUCAACUACGAAAGCGUGGGGAGCAAACAGGAUUAGAUACCCUGGUAGUCCACGCUGUAAACGAUGGGUACUAGGUUUGGUGGGUCUUGACCCCUGCUGAACCGGCGCUAACGCAAUAAGUACCCCGCCUGGGAAGUACGGUCGCAAGACUAAA
Molecule: ribosomal RNA, 376 nt
Filed under: uncultured bacterium
Lineage: Bacteria
Description: bacterial SSU rRNA
Rfam family: Bacterial small subunit ribosomal RNA
Source: RNAcentral